RNAcentral lists this ribosomal RNA (216 nucleotides) under Glomeromycotina sp. Its description in RNAcentral is "partial small subunit ribosomal RNA". The stretch from base 40 to 216 matches the Rfam family "Eukaryotic small subunit ribosomal RNA", at positions 686 to 864 of the family's 1831-position model. The record is from RNAcentral. Lineage: Eukaryota; Fungi; Glomeromycota.
GGGUCAUUAGGUUGGUCGUGCCACCGGUACGUACUGGUCUCACUGAUUCCUCCUUCCUGAAGAACCGUAAUGCCAUUAAUUUGGUGUUGCGGGGAAACAGGACUGUUACUUUGAAAAAAUUAGAGUGUUUAAAGCAAGAUAACGCUUGAAUACAUUAGCAUGGAAUAAUGAAAUAGGACGAUCGAUCCUAUUUUGUUGGUUUCUAGGAUUGACGUA